UCAUACCAGAGCCAACAGCACCUCCACAGAGAGAAAGCUGCCGGAGCCGGAGAGCCGGGGCGUGGUCAUCGUGGCUGUGAUUGUGUGCAUCCUGGUCCUGGCGGUGCUGGGCGCUGUCCUCUAUUUCCUCUAUAAGAAGGGCAAGCUGCCGUGCAGGCGCUCAGGGAAGCAGGAGAUGGAGAGAAAUACAUCGAUCUGAGGCAUUA
Molecule: long non-coding RNA, 206 nt
Filed under: Homo sapiens (human)
Lineage: Eukaryota; Metazoa; Chordata; Mammalia; Primates; Hominidae
Description: non-protein coding lnc-C1QTNF5-6:1
Source: RNAcentral